Maniola jurtina (meadow brown) is the source of this 120-nucleotide long non-coding RNA. RefSeq lists it as uncharacterized. The transcript is spliced from 2 exons. NCBI's taxonomy places the organism in Eukaryota, Metazoa, Arthropoda, Insecta, Lepidoptera, Nymphalidae. The record is from RefSeq and is a predicted model, not a curated record.
GCCGAAAUAUCCACCGGGAUAACCGUCGAGGUAACCAUUGCAACCGCCCAGAUAACCACCGAGGUAACCACCAUUACAACCUCCAAGAAAACCACCAUAGUAACCGCCGAGAUAUCCAUC